This is a long non-coding RNA of Choloepus didactylus (southern two-toed sloth), 627 nucleotides long. RefSeq lists it as uncharacterized. Lineage: Eukaryota; Metazoa; Chordata; Mammalia; Pilosa; Megalonychidae. The transcript has 2 exons. The record is from RefSeq and is a predicted model, not a curated record.
GUAAUUCUUUUAUUUUAUUUUCCAAGCUCUUUUUUGCUCUAGUGUCCUAGGAGCCUGUGGGGCCAGACUUCAGAAAGCUCUUGGAGCAGGGUCAAGAGGGAAGGGCGUGGGUGGAUUCCCAGCAUUCAGGUUCUCACCAAACUCCAGCAAAAGAGACAAAUAGAUCUCCAUUGACAUAAAGCUGUGGCCAGGGCUAAUGACUGGAAAUCCCACCAAAUGCAGUGUUAACAGGAGUGUAGAGUACCGCUGGGAAAGGUCUUUUCUUACUCCCUGAUUCUGCUUGUUCAGAGGGGUCCCGGAAGUCAAGUCCUUCUCAACUUCUCAAGCUUGGCUGCUUCCAGGGGAACAUGAAGGAGAGGGAACUGAAAGUUCAAAUCAGAGAGGAGGACUGCACACAGAAAGCCAUUCGAGUUCUUCCCAUCCAUUGAAGAGUUGGCUGAAGAAGCCUCACCCCAGUUUCACCUCACCUUCCCAGACAACAGUUUCCUGGCCUUCCCACAUGCUUCCUGAACUUUAUCACUGCAUGCAAAAAAAGAAAAAGCCAGUUGUCUGGCUCCUCCUCCAAACUAUGAAUUAUUUGAAACAAGAAUUAUCUUCAUUCAAAAAAAUAAAUGAACAUCUACCACG